GGAUUGAUCAUUUUUUAUAAGUGCAAAUUAUUAACGAGCCGUACGUACAUAAAGUCAGAUAUCACACAUAAUAUUGUUGGCUACUAGUAAAAAUGGUCAAGGCGAUGACAAUACGAUUUUCCAGCUAUGGUUUGUUUCUCUAUUGAUGGGAGGCAGGAGGAUAUACAAGCCUUUUAUUUGAGUUGAUCAAGAAGCAUCAGCAGCUAAAAAAUUACAUUUUUGAUGAAGCACAUAAUAAACUUCGAUGUAACUAGACCUAUAAUAAUCAAUUUCCAUGGUUUUGAUGACAAUAGAAGUCACAACUGAUCACUACAAUCACUAGUACAGAGUAUAUGGACAACUGAAGAAAUACACAUGAAUAGACCGGCAAACUCUGAAUGGUUCUGAAAAACAAAUGCCACAUAUGAAACAGUCUAGCAUAGACGUUGGCCUACAGCCGGCGGCAGACAAUUUUUUCCCCUGUCCGCCGCCCCCUCCCGCAAGCCGCCAAAUCCACAUCGCAAACCCUAACGCCGCCGCCGCCAAAACCCAGCAGCCCCCACUGCAACAAUGUCUGGCGGGGCGGUCGCGGUUCAAGGACGUGGACAUGCGGGUCCGCGUCCGCGGCGGCGGGAAGACGUCGCAGGUCUUCGCCAUCCGCCAGGCCGUCGCCAAGGGGCUCGUCGCAUACUACCAGAAUUACGUCGUCGAGGCCGCCAAGAAGGAGGUCAAGGACGUCUUCAGCCGAUACCAGCGCACCCUCCUCGUCGCCGACCCCAGGCGCUGCGUGUGGGGGAUGGAUAUCCCCGGGCCCACUAAAGAAAUAAAAGACCUCACGAAAGGCCCAAGGACCCAAUAAA
This is an RNA transcript of Zea mays, 839 nucleotides long. It is a transcript of the gene named 40S ribosomal protein S16 pseudogene, with no coding region annotated. Lineage: Eukaryota; Viridiplantae; Streptophyta; Magnoliopsida; Poales; Poaceae. The record is from RefSeq and is a predicted model, not a curated record. The transcript has a single exon.